RNAcentral lists this ribosomal RNA (254 nucleotides) under uncultured bacterium. RNAcentral's name for it is "partial 16S ribosomal RNA". It matches the Rfam family "Bacterial small subunit ribosomal RNA", at positions 524 to 776 of the family's 1533-position model. The record is from RNAcentral.
UACGUAGGGUGCAAGCGUUGUCCGGAAUUAUUGGGCGUAAAGAGCUCGUAGGCGGUGUGUCACGUCGGCCGUGAAAACCUGCAGCUUAACUGUGGGCGUGCGGUCGAUACGGGCAUCACUGGAGUUCGGCAGGGGAGACUGGAAUUCCUGGUGUAGCGGUGAAAUGCGCAGAUAUCAGGAGGAACACCGGUGGCGAAGGCGGGUCUCUGGGCCGAAAUUGACGCUGAGGAGCGAAAGCGUGGGGAGCAAACAGG